GUGAAUCAUCGAAUCUUUGAACGCAAAUUGCACUUUCUGGUAUUCCGGAAAGUAUGCCUGUUUGAGGGUCAGUUAAAUAAAAAUCGGUGUUGUUUCUGCCUUUCGUGGUUACGCGUCGGAAUUGGGUCGUCUUACCUUCGUUUAAGUGACUUAAAAUUUUUUCAUGAUUUUCGAACGGAUGUAAAUCGCUUACGUACGUUUGAGAUAUCAAAUACUUAUGAGGUUCGGUCAUUCCCAUGGGUCGCGCCUAUAAUUUUUCAUGAAAUGACCUCUAAU
Molecule: unclassified non-coding RNA, 276 nt
Filed under: Glomus sp.
Lineage: Eukaryota; Fungi; Glomeromycota; Glomeromycetes; Glomerales; Glomeraceae
Description: partial contains 5.8S ribosomal RNA and internal transcribed spacer 2
Rfam family: 5.8S ribosomal RNA (bases 1-71)
Source: RNAcentral